AUGCAGGACCCACAGUGCGUGCAGCCGCGUCGGAAACUUGCAGCUGCCUUCCUGGCAUUCGUUUUCAUCUUGGCAGCUGUGGACACUGCUGAAGCAGGGAAGAAAGAGGAGGCAGGAAAAAAAGUGAAGAAGUCUGACUGUGGGGAAUGGCAGUGGAGUGUGUGCGUGCCCACCAGUGGGGACUGUGGCCUGGGCACCCGGGAGGGCACCCGGACUGGAGCCGAGUGUAAGCAAACCAUGAAGACCCAGAGAUGUAAGAUCCCCUGCAACUGGAAAAAGCAAUUUGGAGCAGAGUGCAAAUACCAGUUCCAGGCCUGGGGAGAAUGCGACCAGAACUGGAAGUCUGAAGCGAGCCCUCCACAACGCCGACUGCCAGAAGACAGUCACCAUCUCCAAGCCCUGUGGCAAGCUGACUAAGCCCAAACCUCAAGCAGAAUCUAAGAAGAAGAAAAAGGAAGGGAAGAAACAGGAGAAGAUGCUGGACCAAUAGAUGCCACCUUCUGUGGAACAUGAAAAGGACAUCAGCAAACAGGAUCAGUUAACUAUUGCAUUUAUACCUAUGUAGGCUUUUUAUUCAAAAAUUAUCUAUAGCUUAAGUACACAAUAGGCAGAAACACAAAGAACAGAAAAAUUUUGUAGUAGCGUUUUUUUAAAUGCAUACCAUAGGACCACUAGGGGCUUAUAAUAAAGGACUGUAAUCCUAUUUAGAAAGUUGACUUAUAGUACAUGAUACAUGGUAGAAAAUUGAGGUAAGUUUUUUGAAGUUAUGUGAUAUUUUACAUUUAAAAUCUUUUUUUUUUCCAUUUUUUUUCUUUUGGCAGCAAUUUACGUGUUAUGACCAUGUAAACUACUUUUCUUGUUAGAUAAUUUUUUCACCUAGACUUUUUUUCCCAAUUGAGAAAAAUAUAUACUAAACAAAGCAGCAAUAAAAUACAAUCAUCCUAUCUGAGGAAAAUAUCUUGUUUUCUGCCAGUGGAUU
Molecule: RNA transcript, 979 nt
Organism: Mirounga angustirostris (Northern elephant seal)
Lineage: Eukaryota; Metazoa; Chordata; Mammalia; Carnivora; Phocidae
Gene name: pleiotrophin-like
Exons: 1
Source: RefSeq, a predicted model, not a curated record